Setaria italica (foxtail millet) is the source of this 1230-nucleotide long non-coding RNA. RefSeq lists it as uncharacterized. NCBI's taxonomy places the organism in Eukaryota, Viridiplantae, Streptophyta, Magnoliopsida, Poales, Poaceae. The record is from RefSeq and is a predicted model, not a curated record. The transcript has 2 exons.
ACCGGUCGCGGCAUACUCCGGAAGGACCCCGCCCCCGCCGCCGCCGUCGCGUCGCUUCCCCGUCGCCAUGGACGUGGGCGACCGGUCUUUCCGUGCGCGCGUGGGCCUCUCCUUCCCUGUUGCUUGCGUCACCGCCGGGCUGCGGUAUGGGCUUCUUCCUUGUAGGUGAGGUUGCGGGCGACGCCAUACCGUGUGGCGACGCAACGCGUCGUGAGGGGUCUGAACAGCGACAUGGGUGGGCGCUUUUAGGUGGCCAGCUUGUCGCAGAUGACAACCGAGGACGGUUCUUGGGUCUUCUCCCACGCAAUCGACUGCAUAGCGCGUUGAAGAAGAGCGAGGCGACGAUGGCGUGACAGUGAGGGCUGGGCUGAGGCAACGGAUUGGAUGGUUGGUUUUGCGGGGCGCAGGUGGAGAGGCUGGGCCGACGGCGGUGGCACACAGUCGGCCCCGAGGUGCCGAUAGCGCAUGGUGAGGGUCAGAGCCGCCUCCUACUCCUUCCUCCGGUCUCCAACCAUCCCCAACACCUGCUGUCCACCGCUCGCCGAGGAACCAACACGGUGUUCCCGCGAGCGCUGCGAAAGGCCCACGUGGGUGCGACGAAGAAGACAUGGGACAUGCAAGCGUGGGCAUCUCCCUCGCACACCCGUGCGACCUCCCAUGGUGCAGAGCUCGCCGGCCAGUGCCCCAGCAGCUGGAGUGGCUGUCGAUAUGGACGACGCCCAGAAGGUGCUCGAGGAAAUGCGUCCAACCAAAGAUUCUUCAUGAAUCCAUGUUCUUGCUAUUACAAGUUGCCAUGGAUUUGUGACUCACCAAGGAGCGGUGCCAGGUGCCAGGCGAGGACAGAUUGCAGGGAUGAGCUGUGCCGCGGCUACAAACAAAAGCGAUUGCUUUGGGGACGUUUGUGCCGCUGCUAGAUCAGCAUGUACAACAUUCCUUUCAGUCACAUUUUACUGCCCCUGGAGGCUACUCAUGGAUUCCCCCUUCCUGGUACUGCAAAUUUGGAUGACACAAAAUGUUCUAGCAUCUGUAACUGUAAGAAACUGUUCUAUACUAAACUUUUAUGGUCCUUAGCAUUCUUGCAAAGAUAUGAACUAUAGAUUCUUGCAAAGAUAUGAACUAUAGUUGUAGAUAUGCAUAACUAUCAAUAUGUGACUUGCAAUAGUCUGUCAAUUACUCCGUUAAUUUGUAGCCUAUUCUAAUAAGGACAACCCUGUGUUUCAUUAAGCUUUA